AUUUGACAAAGCUAUGCAAGACACACUAUUAUCACCAUUCACAUUCCACCGACCAUCCCAUCCCUGUUCAGGAGGAGUUGUUCUGGGAUUUUCAUGGUUUCUAAAUCUAACUAAAUAGUAAACUUUUCCUAGAGAAGGUAAGCUUAGGAUCAUGUUCUUUCUCAGUUGUUGAGUAUUUGUUUUGUGUUAUGAUAGGUGAAAUUGCACCUGUUUCUCACUCUUAGUUUUCAUGUGUGUAUUUAUAUAAAAGUUUCUUUUGAAAAUUUAGAAUCAUAUCAACAGAUCCUUAUGUUACUUAAAUUCUUCCAUGCAGUUUUGAGAGUCCAUUUUUGCUUGGGUAGUAUGAUAUAUCCUCUUGUUUAUUAGGGAAUGCAAGAGGUCCGAUUAAAUUAAGGCAGUAGAAAUCCUUAGCAGUUUAUGCAAAAUCUUUUGUCUGAGACUACAAUUAUGGGCAGACAAACCAAUCUAUAAUUCUGUGAGAAUUGCUCACCAUGUCUUCUCCUUACAAUGAACCUUACAUUUUUUUAAAAGAAAAUUAUAUGCUAAAGUUUUUUUACUUGAGACAUGUUAAUUAGACUUGUUGUGACCUGGUUUAUUGGUUUUAAGUUUGUGUUCUAAAUUUGGUGAGGUACUUUCUUCAGAGUAUACAGUGAUGAAAGAUUCGAGUUCGACUACAAAAUUUUUGAAGUGUUUUUAUUUUGUGGUGUACUACUUUUAUAUAUUUGCUUCACUUUUUAGUUAAUAUUUUAGAAAUGUUUUGUAUUGCACUUAAUUACUAAUGUAAUGAUAUUAAUAUUUUGUCAAUAUUUGUUUUGGUAAUA
Long non-coding RNA from Humulus lupulus (European hop), 821 nucleotides. RefSeq lists it as uncharacterized. The record is from RefSeq and is a predicted model, not a curated record. The transcript has 3 exons. NCBI's taxonomy places the organism in Eukaryota, Viridiplantae, Streptophyta, Magnoliopsida, Rosales, Cannabaceae.